ACAUCAGAACAAUAUUCCACCGUGCUGGAAAUGAAGGCAUGGAUGAGCUUCUCUGAACCUUCUCUGAACAUGAGAGCUCUCAUUCUUAUUUGUUUGAGAUGAUACACUUUAGUUCCACGAGGCACAAACCAGAUGAGGGUGUGAUUCUAUUGACUACGUGUCAUGUACAUACUGUAUAUGAGCCAUGGUUUGCUAAUCAGCUGUGAAGCCCUUUACAUUCUUGAAGUAACUGCAUCAUCUCAUCGCUGAAAAGAAAGCAAAUGCCUCAGUGUAUUUGCCACCAACCUUUGAGCUGACAGUGAUCGUUCAUCAAAAAAUCCUCCUACAAAGCAAGACGUGCUUGUUUCCGGCAUUCCUUGACAGCAGAUCAGUUAAAAAGUCCUGCAGGGAGUAAUGGAACAACACAGCACAGUGAGCUGCUCACUGAUGAGCUGCAGGCGACUCACACAUCGACACUUCAAACUCACCUGAAAGGAAACCAACCCCCCCGUCACUGCUGAUGAAUGAUAGAAAAAGGCCAGAUAGUGACACAUAAGAUAAUUUGUCCCUGUUUUUGUUUGGCUGACUAGUUGCUAUUUCUGACAAAGUAGCUGCUCCAGGAGUGCUUGAAUUACUUAAACUUUGAAUAUUGCAUCCGAAGACAACAAGUUUCAAUCUUAGUAUUUAGUCACUGAAGUGCUUUUAGAAAAUACCUAGUUGUACUUUUUUCAUAUUUCCAGCACAAUUUAAUAUUUUUUUGAACGCACUGAAAUGCUUUUAGAAAUGCACAGACAGGAUAUUUAAAGCAAAAGUGCUUUGUUUUAUCAAUAUAUUGGUGACAACAUGACAGAUUCUAUGUGGUGUACUUCUGUAUAUUUUUUUUUUGUUUCUUUUUUUGUUUGUUUGACUUGUUUUUCUGAAGCAUUAAUUAAUUCAUUGUCUACCUA
Long non-coding RNA from Acanthopagrus latus (yellowfin seabream), 926 nucleotides. RefSeq lists it as uncharacterized. The transcript is spliced from 2 exons. The record is from RefSeq and is a predicted model, not a curated record. NCBI's taxonomy places the organism in Eukaryota, Metazoa, Chordata, Actinopteri, Spariformes, Sparidae.